This 253-nucleotide ribosomal RNA is filed under the name uncultured bacterium. RNAcentral's name for it is "partial 16S ribosomal RNA". It matches the Rfam family "Bacterial small subunit ribosomal RNA", at positions 524 to 776 of the family's 1533-position model. The record is from RNAcentral.
GACAGAGGGUGCAAACGUUGUUCGGAAUUACUGGGCGUAAAGCGCGUAUAGGCUGCUCCGCAAGUCGGGUGUGAAAGCCCUGGGCUCAACCCAGGAAGUGCACUCGAAACUGCGAAGCUCGAGUCCUGGAGAGGAAGGCGGAAUUCUCGGUGUAGAGGUGAAAUUCGUAGAUAUCGGAAGGAACACCAGUGGCGAAAGCGGCUUCCUGGUCCGACACCGACGUUCAGGCACGAAAGCGUGGGGAGCAAACAGG